This 381-nucleotide ribosomal RNA is filed under the name Triticum aestivum (bread wheat). Its description in RNAcentral is "partial small subunit ribosomal RNA". The record is from RNAcentral. Lineage: Eukaryota; Viridiplantae; Streptophyta; Magnoliopsida; Poales; Poaceae.
AUGCUGGAUGGCAACAUUUGUGCGAAAGCUGAUGUUGCUAAGAUGAGCUCCAAUAUUCGCCUGUCCCGUAUUCAGUAUAGCACUACAGCAUUUAGUCAUCGUUUCCAAAAGACGAGUAUUCGUGGCAACAACAAUGUUUUAGGUGGGAAGAACAUAUUGUUGUGGUUCAUGAUGCAUUCAUCUACGCUGAUGCCAGGUCUUGCCAUUGCCGGGUACCUUGUCAGCAAAAGACAUCUUGAGAGAGUGCAAAAGAGAAUCGACCAUAUUUUCCUAGAAAGAAAAAUGACCAGUGUUUUCCGCCCCUGUUUAUUUUUGUACACCAUCAAAAGAGGAAACGGCUGCACUGUCCCUUUUUCUCUACGUGGCUCGGUUCACUGCUGA